RNAcentral lists this long non-coding RNA (204 nucleotides) under Elaeis guineensis (African oil palm). Its description in RNAcentral is "long non-coding RNA (EGUI_LNC048655)". The record is from RNAcentral. Lineage: Eukaryota; Viridiplantae; Streptophyta; Magnoliopsida; Arecales; Arecaceae.
GCUACUUGGGUUCUUGUAGUUUACGUACAUAAGUACAAUGCUGAAACAGUUCAACAUGAAGAAUUUCAAGAAACGCUAUCCUUCGAUAGGUCAUAAAAUUUCUCUCUUGAAAAAUUAUCCGACAACUCCUCAAAAGAGAAAGUGUAUGAAUAGAAUCCCAUAUACCUCGGUAGUGAUUCUAUAAUGUAUGCUAUGAUAUGUAUG